AGACGCAGCAAACUGCGAAACGUAAUGCGAAUUGCAGAACUCGUGAAUCAUCAAAUCUUUGAAUGCAAGUAGCGCUCUCGGGUAAUCCUGGGAGCAUGUCUGUUUGAGGAAAAAUACGGAAAGACCAAUAUCCAAUUUUUGUUCGUUUUCGCAAGGGAACGAGCAGCUGAUGGGCGGGAUCGAGCUCUUUGAGUUGAGAUCCGUGUCCACUGUCUGUCGWGUGCUAUGCACAGGGCAAAGUAGUGGUCGCCUGAAAAGUAUAUGGUUGUUCGUUGAGUGCAGUUUCCACUUUUUAGCUGGACCGAGCAGCUCUCAUCGCCUGAGUCACAUCAUUGUUUAUUCAUUGGUCCGAUUCGUGUGAGUAGUAGCUUGUUGAACACAUCAAAGUGACGUACGGUACGAGAACUUUUACCAUCUGAAAAGAAAAAAUUUCGAUCGCUUUUAUCAAAUCAGACAUGAUGACCCGCUGAAUUUAAGCAUAUCAAUAAGCGG
This 492-nucleotide ribosomal RNA is filed under the name Gloiocladia sp. 1laciniata. Its description in RNAcentral is "eukaryotic LSU rRNA". Lineage: Eukaryota; Rhodophyta; Florideophyceae; Rhodymeniales; Faucheaceae. The record is from RNAcentral.